AUUGAACGCUGGCGGCAUGCCUUACACAUGCAAGUCGAACGGCAGCAUGAUCUAGCUUGCUAGAUUGAUGGCGAGUGGCGAACGGGUGAGUAAUACAUCGGAACGUGCCCUGUAGUGGGGGAUAACUAGUCGAAAGAUUAGCUAAUACCGCAUACGACCUGAGGGUGAAAGUGGGGGACCGCAAGGCCUCAUGCUAUAGGAGCGGCCGAUGUCUGAUUAGCUAGUUGGUGAGGUAAAGGCUCACCAAGGCGACGAUCAGUAGCUGGUCUGAGCGGACGAUCAGCCACACUGGGACUGAGACACGGCCCAGACUCCUACGGGAGGCAGCAGUGGGGAAUGUUGGACGAUGGGCGAAAGCCUGAUCCAGCAAUGCCGCGUGUGUGAAGAAGGCCUUCGGGUUGUAAAGCACAUUUGUCCGGAAAGAAAUGGCUCUGGUGAAUACCUGGGGUCGAUGACGGUACCGGAAGAAUAAGGACCGGCUAACUACGUG
RNAcentral lists this ribosomal RNA (490 nucleotides) under uncultured bacterium. Its description in RNAcentral is "partial 16S ribosomal RNA". It matches the Rfam family "Bacterial small subunit ribosomal RNA", at positions 30 to 507 of the family's 1533-position model. The record is from RNAcentral.